CUAUACAUGACUCUGCUGCAUAUCAAUAAGCGGAGGAAAAGGUGGAAAUGAACUGUACGUACCUACGCUUAGGAUGUUGACGAGACUGUCGAUCUCAUCUAUACAUGACUCUGCGCAUAUCAAUAAGCGGAGGAAAAGAAACUAACAAGGAUUCCCUUAGUAACGGCGAGUGAAGCGGGAAGAGCUCAAAUUUGAAAUCUUCAAGGUUCUACCUUGACGAAUUGUAGUUUAUAGAAGUGUUUUCUGUUAGUAGAGUGGCAAAAGUUCUUUGGAAUAGGACAUCAUAGAGGGUGAGAAUCCCGUAUUUGACCAUUACUUUCCAGCUGUGUGAUACACUUUCAAAGAGUCGGAUUGUUUGGGAAUGCAGUCCAAAAUGGGUAGUAAAUUUCAUCUAAAGCUAAAUAUUGGCGAGAGACCGAUAGCGAACAAGUACCGUGAGGGAAGGAUGAAAAGAACUUUGAAAAGAGAGUUAAACAGUACGUGAAAUUGUCAAUAGGGAAGCGUUUGACACCAGUGUUGUUUAGUUGAAAAUCAAUUCAAUAAUUUUUGAUUUUGAGUAGUAUUGACUUCAUCAGCUUGCUGCUUUCUUUUCGGAAAUUAUUGAAUGCACUUUUCAGUUAACAAGUCAACAUCAAUUUCUUUUGUUGUAAAAGGGUAAGAGGAAGGUGGCUUACGCUUCGGCGUAAGUGUUUAUAGCCUUUUACCUCUGCAAUCGGAGAGAUUGAGGACAGCAGCGUAGACUCUUCGGGGUUAGAUACACUUGUGCUAAGCUAUAGCCUUGUAUAGACAACUUGUUGACUAUGCUCAGUCAUGUAGCUUACUCGCUUGUGCUAUUUUACCUACGCUUAGGAUGUUGACGAGACUGUCGAUCUC
Molecule: ribosomal RNA, 873 nt
Filed under: uncultured Neocallimastigales
Lineage: Eukaryota; Fungi; Neocallimastigomycota; Neocallimastigomycetes; Neocallimastigales
Description: partial large subunit ribosomal RNA
Rfam family: Eukaryotic large subunit ribosomal RNA (bases 90-873)
Source: RNAcentral